CUGCGGCGCUGAAAUGGUUCACCGCCGCAGCUAUAGCCAGAGUCACAGCCCAAAAAGCCGUGAUUCUUUUUGGAAAAUUUGACGACCAGCAGGGGCAUCCGGGCUGGUGCCCGGACUAUCUGCGGGAUCCGUGGUGGUUUGACCCAAACCUUGAGACAGGUUUGGGUGGCCCUGCGGUUUCUACGCCGGUGGUGUCCCCUUACCGAGGGUGACCA
RNAcentral lists this non-coding RNA (215 nucleotides) under Pseudomonas marincola. RNAcentral's name for it is "sucA-II". It matches the Rfam family "sucA-II RNA". Lineage: Bacteria; Pseudomonadati; Pseudomonadota; Gammaproteobacteria; Pseudomonadales; Pseudomonadaceae. The record is from RNAcentral.